CGGAGAGUGCAAACGUUGUUCGGAUUCACUGGGCGUAAAGGGCACGUAGGCGGCUCAGCAAAUCAGUCGUGGAAUCCCGACGCUUACCGUCGGAACGGCGGCUGAAAAUACUGGGCUUGAGGGCGUGAGGGGUCACUGGAACUCCCGGUGAAGCGGUGAAAUGCGUAGAUAUCGGGAGGAACGCCGGAGGCGAAAGCGAGUGACUGGCGCGUUCCUGACGCUGAGGUGCGAAAGCUAGGGGAGCAAACAGGAUUAGAUACCCUGGUAGUCCUAGCCGUAAACGAUGGACACUGAGUGAAGGGGGGCUUGCCCCUCUUUGCUGCAGCUAACGCGUUAAGUGUCCCGCCUGGGGAGUACGGCCGCAAGGUUA
This 370-nucleotide ribosomal RNA is filed under the name uncultured organism. RNAcentral's name for it is "bacterial SSU rRNA". It matches the Rfam family "Bacterial small subunit ribosomal RNA", at positions 526 to 896 of the family's 1533-position model. The record is from RNAcentral.